AGUGAACGCUGGCGGUAGGCCUAACACAUGCAAGUCGAACGGCAGCACAGUAAGAGCUUGCCCUUACGGGUGGCGAGUGGCGGACGGGUGAGGAAUACAUCGGAAUCUACUUUUUCGUGGGGGGUAACGUAGGGAAACUUACGCUAAUACCGCAUACGACCUACGGGUGAAAGCAGGGGAUCUUCGGACCUUGCGCGAUUGAAUGAGCCGAUGUCGGAUUAGCUAGUUGGCGGGGUAAAGGCCCACCAAGGCGACGAUCCGUAGCUGGUCUGAGAGGAUGAUCAGCCACACUGGAACUGAGACACGGUCCAGACUCCUACGGGAGGCAGCAGUGGGGAAUAUUGGACAAUGGGCGCAAGCCUGAUCCAGCCAUACCGCGUGGGUGAAGAAGGCCUUCGGGUUGUAAAGCCCUUUUGUUGGGAAAGAAAAGCAGCAGGUUAAUACCCCGCUGUUCUGACGGUACCCAAAGAAUAAGCACCGGCUAACUUCGUG
Molecule: ribosomal RNA, 492 nt
Filed under: uncultured bacterium
Lineage: Bacteria
Description: partial 16S ribosomal RNA
Rfam family: Bacterial small subunit ribosomal RNA
Source: RNAcentral